RNAcentral lists this transfer RNA (71 nucleotides) under Podarcis lilfordi (Lilford's wall lizard). RNAcentral describes it as "tRNA.Ala". The record is from RNAcentral. Lineage: Eukaryota; Metazoa; Chordata; Lepidosauria; Squamata; Lacertidae.
GGCCCAUAGUUCAGUGGUAGAGCAUCUGCUUUGCUUUCAGAAGGUCCCAGAUUCAAUUUCCAGCAUCUCCA